RNAcentral lists this ribosomal RNA (119 nucleotides) under Pteropus alecto (black flying fox). The record is from RNAcentral. Lineage: Eukaryota; Metazoa; Chordata; Mammalia; Chiroptera; Pteropodidae.
GUCUAUGACCAUGCCACCCUGAACGCACCCAGUCUUGUCUGAUCUCAGAAGCUAAGCAGUGUCGGGCCUGGUUAGUUCUUGGAUGGGAGAUCACCUAGGAAUACCGGGUGCUACAAGUU